RNAcentral lists this ribosomal RNA (1726 nucleotides) under Rhodax sp. MR532. RNAcentral describes it as "SSU rRNA". It matches the Rfam family "Eukaryotic small subunit ribosomal RNA". Lineage: Eukaryota; Metazoa; Platyhelminthes; Tricladida; Dimarcusidae. The record is from RNAcentral.
UAUUAUAUGCUUAUCUCAAAGACUAAGCCAUGCAUGCCUAAGUACUCGGUCCAGCAAACCGAAACCGCGGAUGGCUCAUUAUAACAGCUAUGAUUUAAGAGACAUAUUUGGCAUUCUUGCCACAGGAUAACUGUGGUAAUUCUAGAGCUAAUACUUUUCAAAAUGCCGUGACGAAAGGAGCGGUGUAUUUAUUAGAAUCAAGACCAAUCUGUCGCAAGACAGUGUUUUGAUGACUCUGGAUAAACCAACUGAUCGUACGGCCUUUGUGUCGACGACCGAUCUCUUAAAGUGGCUGACCUAUCAACUUUAGAUGGUAAGGUAACUGCUUACCAUGGUUGUAACGGGUAACGGGGAAUCAGGGUUCGAUUCCGGAGAGGGAGCCUGAGAAACGGCUACCACAUCCACGGAUGGCAGCAGGCGCGUAACAUGCCCAAUGCGAGUGCAAGCUCGUGAGGCUGUAAAGAAUCAUAACAAUAUGGGCCUUUCUAAGGACUCAUAAUUGCAAUGAGAUGAUUUUAAAUACUUUUACGAGUAUCAAUUGGAGGGCAAGUCUGGUGCCAGCAGCCGCGGUAAUUCCAGCUCCAAUAGCGUAUAUUAAAGUUGCUGCAGUUAAAAAGCUCGUAGUCGAAAUUGAGGAAUUAUGAUGGGUGGAUGGUCUGUUGAUCGUUGCCUAUCUGAUCCUUCUGAGCUGUGUCUAUGUCCGAUGCUCUUCAUUUGGGUGUUGGAUGUAACCGGCAAGUUUACUUUGAAAAAAUUAGAGUGCUUAAAGCAGGCUUUACGCUUGUAUAUUUGUGCAUGGAAUAAUGAAAUAAGACUUCGGUUUUAUUUUGUUGGUUUUACGAAUCGAGGUAAUGAUUAAAAGAGACUGCCGGGGGCAUGCGUAUGCUGAUGGGAGAGGUGAAAUUCAUAGAUCAUCAGCAGACGAUCUAAUGCGAAAGCAUUUGCCAAGAAUGUUUUCAUUGAUCAAGAACGAAAGUCAGAGGAUCGAAGACGAUCAGAUACCGUCCUAGUUCUGACCAUAAACUAUGCCAACUGACGGUCCGCGGAGGUACCAAUUAAUGUCCUUGCGAGAAGUCAUCCGGGAAACCAUAAGUCUAUGGGUUCCGGGGGAAGUAUGGUUGCAAAGCUGAAACUUAAAGGAAUUGACGGAAGGGCACCACCAGGAGUGGAGCCUGCGGCUUAAUUUGACUCAACACGGGGAAUCUCACCCGGUCCGGACACUGUGAGGAUUGACAGAUUGAUAGCUCUUUCUUGAUUCGGUGGGUGGUGGUGCAUGGCCGUUCUUAGUUGGUGGAGCGAUUUGUCUGGUUAAUUCCGAUAACGAACGAGACUCUAACCUGCUAAACAGUACAACAGUGUUUUCCUGCUGUUGCCGACUUCUUAGAGGAAUAAAUAGCUUAUAGCUAAGUGAGAUUGAGCAAUAACAGGUCUGUGAUGCCCUUAGAUGUCCGGGGCCGCACGCGCGCUACAAUGGCUGUAUCAACGAGUUUGUUUCCUUGCUUGAAAAGGCUGGGUAAACUGUUGAAACACAGCCAUAUCUGGGAUAGUGGUUUGAAAUUGUUCCACUUGAACGAGGAAUUCCUAGUAAGUGCAAGUCAUCAACUUGCGCUGAUUACGUCCCUGCCCUUUGUACACACCGCCCGUCGCUACUACCGAUUGAAUGGUUUAGUGAGACUGUUGGAUUCUGAUCUAAGGGGUGGCAACAUCUCUAUGAUUGGGAGAAGAC